RNAcentral lists this ribosomal RNA (461 nucleotides) under uncultured bacterium. RNAcentral's name for it is "partial 16S ribosomal RNA". It matches the Rfam family "Bacterial small subunit ribosomal RNA", at positions 28 to 504 of the family's 1533-position model. The record is from RNAcentral.
GACGAACGCUGGCGGCGUGCUUAACACAUGCAAGUCGAACGGAAAGGCCCUGCUUGCAGGGUACUCGAGUGGCGAACGGGUGAGUAACACGUGGGUGAUCUGCCCUGCACUUCGGGAUAAGCCUGGGAAACUGGGUCUAAUACCGGAUAGGAGCCAUUUUUAGUGUGAUGGUUGGAAAGUUUUUUCGGUGUAGGAUGAGCUCGCGGCCUAUCAGCUUGUUGGUGGGGUAAUGGCCUACCAAGGCGGCGACGGGUAGCCGGCCUGAGAGGGUGGACGGCCACAUUGGGACUGAGAUACGGCCCAGACUCCUACGGGAGGCAGCAGUGGGGAAUAUUGCACAAUGGGCGCAAGCCUGAUGCAGCGACGCCGCGUGGGGGAUGACGGCCUUCGGGUUGUAAACUCCUUUCGCUAGGGACGAAGCUUUUGUGACGGUACCUAGAUAAGAAGCACCGGCUAACUAC